This 531-nucleotide ribosomal RNA is filed under the name Channa asiatica (small snakehead). RNAcentral describes it as "partial 16S ribosomal RNA". It matches the Rfam family "Bacterial large subunit ribosomal RNA", at positions 1922 to 2608 of the family's 2925-position model. The record is from RNAcentral. Lineage: Eukaryota; Metazoa; Chordata; Actinopteri; Anabantiformes; Channidae.
GUUCAACGGCCGCGGUAUUUUGACCGUGCAAAGGUAGCGCAAUCACUUGUCUUUUAAAUGAAGACCCGUAUGAAUGGCACGACGAGGGCCAAACUGUCUCCUUUUUCAGGUCAAUGAAAUUGAUCCCCCCGUGCAGAAGCGGGGAUUAUUACAUAAGACGAGAAGACCCUAUGGAGCUUUAGACACCAGAGCAGCCCUUGUUAAACCACCCUAGACAAAGGAAAAAACCAAACGGGCCCUGCCCUCAUGUCUUUGGUUGGGGCGACCGCGGGGAAUACAAAACCCCCAUGUGGAAUGGGAGAACACCUCCUAAAACCAAGAGCUACAGCUCUAAGCAAUAGAAUAUCUAACCAAAAGAUCCGGCAAAGCCGAUCAACGAACCGAGUUACCCUAGGGAUAACAGCGCAAUCCCCUUUUAGAGUCCAUAUCGACAAGGGGGUUUACGACCUCGAUGUUGGAUCAGGACAUCCUAAUGGUGCAGCCGCUAUUAAGGGUUCGUUUGUUCAACGAUUAAAGUCCUACGUGAUCUGA